ACAUGACUCUCGGCAACGGAUAUCUCGGCUCUCGCAUCGAUGAAGAACGUAGCGAAAUGCGAUACCUGGUGUGAAUUGCAGAAUCCCGCGAACCAUCGAGUCUUUGAACGCAAGUUGCGCCCGAGGCCUUCGGGCCGAGGGCACGCCUGCCUGGGCGUCACGC
Molecule: ribosomal RNA, 163 nt
Filed under: Fargesia yunnanensis
Lineage: Eukaryota; Viridiplantae; Streptophyta; Magnoliopsida; Poales; Poaceae
Also listed under: 30 other names
Description: 5.8S ribosomal RNA
Rfam family: 5.8S ribosomal RNA
About the family: 5.8S ribosomal RNA (5.8S rRNA) is a component of the large subunit of the eukaryotic ribosome.
Source: RNAcentral